RNAcentral lists this ribosomal RNA (492 nucleotides) under uncultured bacterium. RNAcentral describes it as "partial 16S ribosomal RNA". It matches the Rfam family "Bacterial small subunit ribosomal RNA", at positions 29 to 507 of the family's 1533-position model. The record is from RNAcentral.
AGUGAACGCUGGCGGUAGGCCUAACACAUGCAAGUCGAACGGCAGCACAGUAAGAGCCUGCUCUUACGGGUGGCGAGUGGCGGACGGGUGCGGAAUACAUCGGAAUCUACUUUUUCGUGGGGGAUAACGUAGGGAAACUUACGCCAAUACCGCAUACGACCUACGGGUGAAAGCAGGGGAUCUUCGGACCUUGCGCGAUUGAAUGAGCCGAUGUCGGAUUAGCUAGUUGGCGGGGUAAAGGCCCACCAAGGCGACGAUCCGUAGCUGGUCUGAGAGGAUGAUCAGCCACACUGGAACUGAGACACGGUCCAGACUCCUACGGGAGGCAGCAGUGGGGAAUAUUGGACAAUGGGCGCAAGCCUGAUCCAGCCAUACCGCGUGGGUGAAGAAGGCCUUCGGGUUGUAAAGCCCUUUUGUUGGGAAAGAAAAGCAGCAGGUUAAUACCCCGCUGUUCUGACGGUACCCAAAGAAUAAGCACCGGCUAACUUCGUG